GCCUUCGUAGCGUAGUGGUCAGAACGCUAAGAGCUUAUUCCAGAGGUCUGCGGUUCGAGUCCCCGCGAAGGCG
This is a non-coding RNA of Stegodyphus mimosarum, 73 nucleotides long. Lineage: Eukaryota; Metazoa; Arthropoda; Arachnida; Araneae; Eresidae. The record is from Rfam.